Molecule: unclassified non-coding RNA, 264 nt
Filed under: Hevea brasiliensis (rubber tree)
Lineage: Eukaryota; Viridiplantae; Streptophyta; Magnoliopsida; Malpighiales; Euphorbiaceae
Source: RNAcentral
UCAGUCCAGCCGUCCACAUCGAGGGCUCCAACUCGCUUACCUAUGCUUCCGGAAAUUUCAUCCAUCGCCGUAUCUGCGCUAUGCGCCACGGGCGUCCCACAUGCGAGUCCCUCGACAACCGGCAUUCCGAACCCCUCAUAGAGCGAUGGUGCCAACAGCAACCGCGCACCCUCGUAGAGAUUUCGCAGUUGCGGAUCGGUCAUGUCAUGAACAAAUCGAACCGAUCCAUUCCUGACCAUUGCCUCUGUCGGCUCGGGCAGAUCG